UAUCAAGACCAUUAACCAUGCCUAACUUGU
Molecule: non-coding RNA, 30 nt
Filed under: Rattus norvegicus (Norway rat)
Lineage: Eukaryota; Metazoa; Chordata; Mammalia; Rodentia; Muridae
Source: RNAcentral